Small nuclear RNA from Otolemur garnettii (small-eared galago), 107 nucleotides. The record is from Ensembl. Lineage: Eukaryota; Metazoa; Chordata; Mammalia; Primates; Galagidae.
GUGCUUGCUUCAACAGCACAUAUGCUAAAAUCGGAAUGAUACCGAGAAGAUGAGCAUGGCCCCUGCGCAGGGAUGACACACAAAUUCAUGAAGCAUUCCAUAUUUUU